This is a non-coding RNA of Kogia breviceps (pygmy sperm whale), 1864 nucleotides long. The record is from RefSeq and is a predicted model, not a curated record. NCBI's taxonomy places the organism in Eukaryota, Metazoa, Chordata, Mammalia, Artiodactyla, Physeteridae.
CCGACGUGCGCCGAAAGGAAGGUCGGGCCGGCUGGCUUCGCCCGCGGGGCAAUGCUGCUGCGACCGUUGCGGAGCUGGGCUUCCCGGGCACUGCGCCGCGACAGGCCCGGGAGCCCCGCCUUCAGCCCGGGGUCGCCAGGGGCACAGCGUUUGGUCUGGCCUCGGGAUAAAGGUAGAGAAAAUGAAAAAGAGAAAAAAUCAGUGAUCUGUGUUGAGGGCAACAUUGCAAGCGGGAAGACGACGUGCCUGGAGUUCUUCUCCAACACAACAGACAUCGAGGUGUUAACGGAGCCCGUGCCCAAGUGGAGAAAUGUCCGAGGCCAUAAUCCUCUGGGUCUGAUGUACCGGGACGCCUGUCGAUGGGGCCUUACGCUGCAGACAUAUGUGCAGCUCACCAUGCUGGACCAGCACACUCGUCCUCAGACAUUGCCUGUACGGUUGAUGGAGCGGUCGAUUCACAGCGCAAGAUACGUUUUUGUAGAAAACUUGUAUAGAAGUGGGAAGAUGCCUGAAGUGGACUAUGUGGUCCUGUCGGAAUGGUUUGACUGGAUUGUGAGGAACAUCGACGUGUCCAUUGACUUGAUAGUUUAUCUCCAGACCACUCCUGAGACCUGUUACCAGAGGCUAAAGAUGAGAUGCAGGGAAGAGGAGAAGGUCAUUCCACUGGAAUACCUGGAUGCUAUUCACCACCUGUAUGAGGAGUGGCUCAUCAAAGGGAGCCUUUUCCCUGUGGCGGCCCCUGUUCUGGUGAUUGAGGCUGACCACGACAUGGAGAAAAUGUUAGAACUCUUUGAACAAAACCGGCACCGAAUACUAAUUCCAGAGGAUCGGAAGCUUGGUCCAUAGGACGGGGAAGAUCAUGCCAGAGAAAUGCCCACUGAAGCCAAGUUAGCUCUCACAAGCAGUUUGGAACAAUCCACUCUCGGGAGGGCUUUCUGUCUGGGCACAUUUGUCUUCCUAAUGGUCUUCUCUCCUUUGCCAGUGUCUUUAUCCUGGGAUUCUGGCCCUCGUGGUUAAGGUGGAGUAGGACAUAGGGGGAACGGAAGAUGGAAUACAAACAGAUGAAUCACAAGUAACCACACUGAAGGUGCUGGGAAGAAAAGAACUUAACUGAAGUAAACUUGGAAAACAGUACCUUGAUUGGAUACAAGAAGAGUAAAGGUGCCUUAAGGGUGCCGAGGGAAACUGCUAUUCAGAGAUACAGGGUGACUCUCCCAAGGUCACAGGCUGAGCUGGGAUGUGAAGGGGACAGGAAGCCCCCCUGAGGUCGUCACUAUGCAUACCUCACCUCAUUAACUCUUCUGAGCCUCCUGUGAGUGGAGCAGAGCCGAGGUCAGUCUGGGUUCUUGCCUUGCCCCAAGAGCAAGUGGGAAAGCACAGCACGCCUGCAUCCUUCCACACCCCCGUCUGCAGCGGUCGCUGCCCGUGCCGCCCAGCACCCUCAGCCCACCCUGAUAUCGCCUGCGAAGGCUCCUGACUCCUCCUGCUUGAGAGCCUUCUUUGGCUGGUGUGCGGGCUGCAAGUGCCAGGGAGUUAACACCCAGGGGCAACCCUCAGCCAACCAAGGAGGGUCAGUGGAUAGAAACCCCAGCUUCCUGCCCUUGGUGGGACAGUUCUGAGGUGUGUUUUACUCUUUCAGAGGGUCCCCAGUGGAUCACCCCAGUUGCCCACAGCAAUAACCUGCUCAUUGAUGCAUCUGUGUCGACUCUUCUCCCUCCCGGUCUUAAUUCCUGACUCCUUCACUGUGCUUCCUGGGAUCACCUCCCACAUAAACUAUUUAUACCCAGAUCUUGAGUCAGGGACAGCUUUUGGAGGAAUUGAGAUGGAUAUAAUCACCUAUGCACUCUCCCAUCAAGCCUUCCCU